RNAcentral lists this ribosomal RNA (497 nucleotides) under uncultured bacterium. Its description in RNAcentral is "partial 16S ribosomal RNA". It matches the Rfam family "Bacterial small subunit ribosomal RNA", at positions 28 to 507 of the family's 1533-position model. The record is from RNAcentral.
GACGAACGCUGGCGGCGUGCCUAAUACAUGCAAGUUGAGCGAUGAAGAUUGGUGCUUGCACCAAUUUGAAGAGCAGCGAACGGGUGAGUAACGCGUGGGGAAUCUGCCUUUGAGCGGGGGACAACAUUUGGAAACGAAUGCUAAUACCGCAUAAUAACUUUAAACAUAAGUUUUAAGUUUGAAAGAUGCAAUUGCAUCACUCAAAGAUGAUCCCGCGUUGUAUUAGCUAGUUGGUGAGGUAAAGGCUCACCAAGGCGAUGAUACAUAGCCGACCUGAGAGGGUGAUCGGCCACAUUGGGACUGAGACACGGCCCAAACUCCUACGGGAGGCAGCAGUAGGGAAUCGUCGGCAAUGGACGAAAGUCUGACCGAGCAACGCCGCGUGAGUGAAGAAGGUUUUCGGAUCGUAAAACUCUGUUGGUAGAGAAGAACGUUGGUGAGAGUGGAAAGCUCAUCAAGUGACGGUAACUACCCAGAAAGGGACGGCUAACUACGUG